This 815-nucleotide ribosomal RNA is filed under the name Microhyla berdmorei (Pegu rice frog). RNAcentral's name for it is "partial 16S rRNA". It matches the Rfam family "Bacterial large subunit ribosomal RNA", at positions 1250 to 2574 of the family's 2925-position model. The record is from RNAcentral. Lineage: Eukaryota; Metazoa; Chordata; Amphibia; Anura; Microhylidae.
UCCCCUAACUAUAUAAAACCCUUAAUUCAGUACUAAAUAAUUUUAUAACUAUAUAAAAACGCAUAUGUUAGAACUAGUAACAAGAAGAAGUACUUCUCCAAAAUGUAAGCUUAAGCCAGAAUGAACCCCCUCACUGGCAAUUAAAGUCAAUAAACCCAUAGUAGUAACUCAUCAAGAAAACCCUACUACCACAAACGUUAACCUUACACUAGCACAUUCCUGGAAAGAAAUAAAGAGGGGGAAGGAACUCGGCAAAUAAUUUAACCCCGCCUGUUUACCAAAAACAUCGCCUCUUGCUAUCUAUAAGAGGUCCAGCCUGCCCAGUGACUAAGUUAAACGGCCGCGGUACCCUAACCGUGCAAAGGUAGCGCAAUCACUUGUUCUUUAAAUGAGGACUAGUAUGAACGGCAUCACGAGGGUUAUACUGUCUCCCCCCUUUUUUCAGUGAAACUGAUCUUCCCGUGAAGAAGCGGGAAUAUUGUUAUAAGACGAGAAGACCCCAUGGAGCUUUAAACUCAGAAUCAACUGCCACAAACUUAACCUAAUAAUAACGCAGAAAUGACUUCUAGUUUUCGGUUGGGGUGACCGCGGAGUAAAAUAAAACCUCCACGACGAAAGGAACUAACCUCCUAACCUAAGAGCCACAGCUCUAAGUAUUAAAACAUUAACCUAAUUGAUCCAAUUACUUGAUCAACGAACCAAGUUACCCUGGGGAUAACAGCGCAAUCCAUUUCAAGAGCUCAUAUCGACAAAUGGGUUUACGACCUCGAUGUUGGAUCAGGAUAUCCAAGUGGCGCAGCCGCUACUAACGGUUC